CUGGGUGAAGGGGGUGAACGAGAGAAGGAGGGGGAGCUAGACCUAACCCCUUUGCUGGCGGGGCUGCGGCGACCUGGCGCGGCAACGGGCAGCGGUGAUGGUGGAGCGGCCUCGGGCGCGGCGAACAGAGGGAGCGGCCUGGCGGAGAAACGAAGGAGCAGGAGGAGGGGUUGAGCGUAGUUGCUCGGAGCGGCGGGGACUGGGGGACGUUGCUCCAAUCUGUGGCUCUGGCUGCGGCGACGAUGGGUCAUGCUGAUGCCACAACUGCUGGGGAGGAAGAACGGUCUCGUUGGUCUACAACCUCGGGUCCUCGGUCUGCGGUGGCAGCUGCUGCUGGGGAUGAUGAGGCUCCCACGAAUGAUGAUGCACGUCCGGCGGCGGCGGCUGGUCCUCAUCAAAUCCUCCUAGGGUCCGUUCUCCGUACGCGGAGAAAGCUAGACAUGGGGUCAAACACGAUCGGUAGAAUACUGUGGAACAAAUUGAAUACAGACAUGAGUCUAUAACAACGAAGGCAACUG
Molecule: ribosomal RNA, 518 nt
Filed under: Triticum aestivum (bread wheat)
Lineage: Eukaryota; Viridiplantae; Streptophyta; Magnoliopsida; Poales; Poaceae
Description: partial small subunit ribosomal RNA
Source: RNAcentral